GUGAAUGUCUGUGUCUGUUUGGUGGCAAGUUCUGUUUCCUGUUGUAUUACAUUUGAUCAGUUGGCACUUUCUCUCUCUUAUGACGUCCUUAUCCGUCUCCACGUAGAUCAAGAGAUUGGCCUUGAACUUCCAAGCAGUAGGCAUAAUAAAACUAAAAAAAGCCAAAUUGUUUUCUGUUGUUGGACUCUUCACAACUUUCUGACCUUUAAAUUUUGCCAAGCAGCAGGCAGGUUAUGUUCACAAUCACCUACUGUUCCCUGUGAAGUUAUGAAGGAAU
RNAcentral lists this unclassified non-coding RNA (277 nucleotides) under Hevea brasiliensis (rubber tree). Lineage: Eukaryota; Viridiplantae; Streptophyta; Magnoliopsida; Malpighiales; Euphorbiaceae. The record is from RNAcentral.